CGGUCUCCAUGGCGCUGCUGUAGCGGUGCAGGUGCCUGGGAUCCAGAAUGAGCGCGUCCGAGACAGAUCGCUGGGCGUGGUUGCUGGUGCUGUGCUUCGUGUUCGGGUGCAACGUGCUGCGCAUCCUUCUGCCGACCUUGUCCUCGUUUGGUGGACCAGGCUGGACCAGGCUGGAGUAACUCUCCCUUGAGUGGAGAACAGUGGGCAAUAGAGAGAGAUUUCCAGGGUGCUGCAGAAGGAUGCAGAGCAGGAGUCACAGAUGAGAGCAGAGAUCCAGAGCAUGAAGCAGGAGCUGUCCACCGUCAACAUGAUGGAUGAGUUUGCCAGAUACGCCAGGCUGGAGAGAAAAAUCAACAAAAUGACAGACAAACUCAAAACUCACGUGAAGGCACGGACAGCUCAGUUGGCCAAGAUCAAGUGGUUUAUAAGUGUUGCUUUCUACGUACUACAAGUGAGUGUUGCCUGGUCUCUGCACAGCUGUGGUUCUUUUCCCUUUGUCUGCUUACGUAUGUGCACAUGUGUGUAGGCAUUUUCCUCUGUGUGCUUAUGCACAUGUGUGCACAUGUGUACAGAGGCCAGAGUUGGCUGUGGUGUUUUUUUCUUGAUUACUCUCCGUCUUUUAUCCCAAGGCAGGGUCUCUCACUUAAGCAUAAAACUUGCCACCUGUAAUCUAGUCAGUUUGCUUAGGGCCUGCUAUGGGCGCUGAGACACAGCCUCUGUGGGAUGGCAAGUUCUUUUUUUUUUUUUUUUCUUCUUUUUUUCGGAGCUGGGGACCGAACCCAGGGCCUUGCGCUUGCUAGGCAAGCACUCUACCACUGAGCUAAAUCCCCAACCCUGGCAAGUUCUUUAUCUUCUGAGCCAUUUAUCCACCCUCCAGCUGCAGAGUCCUAAGACUGAAAAUAAAAAAGUUUUUCAGCCAGAGACAUGACUUCAGAGCUGUUGCCUUGCCUUACCCUGAAGCUGGUGCUCCGUGCUCCCAGGUAGUGUAAGGUGGUGCUUACAGCCUCCAGGGGGAAACCAGCAGACAGAUUUAUUCAUCAUUCUCUCUCUCUCUCUCUCUCCCCCCACUAGACCGGCUGGUGGCCUUUCCUACUCGAGUAGCAGGUGGAAUCGGAGUCACCUGCUGGAUUUUAGUCUGCAACAAAGUCGUGGCUAUCAUUCUCCACCCUUUCAGCUGAGGGGAGGCCAGCCACAGCCUUUACCCGAGAAUUCUGUUAGGUGAAGAGCGGAUUGCGCACAAGGCCACAGAUUGUUGUUUUUUGUGUUCUGGAGUACGAUUGCUUUUGUGUGUCACCUGGGAUUCUUGUUGAAGUCAGGAUUUCCUAUACUCGCCAUUGAGCCAGAAAGACCAGUUACGUACGGCAUUCCCGCACUGUCUGACGUCUGACGUAACUCUGGAUCCUUACCGACUGGGAACCACCACGUGGCAUCUGCUGGUGCUUGUUCCGCAGUGAAAGUCACACUUGUAACAGCUCCGAUAGUGCCGUUUCUAACUUUAGAAAAACCCACACUUUUGUACCACUACUAAACCUCCUUUUUAUCUCACAGUUGCCGAGAGUGACACAUACUAGUGGAUGUCACUCUGCUGUACCCUGUUGAAAUGCCACACUUCAGUGUGUGAAAAGUAUCGACGUUUGUCUAAGCUUGUUAAUUUUUCAUAGUUGCUCCUACAUGUGUUCACGAGCCUACGUAUAUUUUAUUUAAAGCAUUUCAAUGAAGUCUGUCUUU
RNAcentral lists this long non-coding RNA (1728 nucleotides) under Rattus norvegicus (Norway rat). RNAcentral's name for it is "long non-coding RNA NONRATT006496". Lineage: Eukaryota; Metazoa; Chordata; Mammalia; Rodentia; Muridae. The record is from RNAcentral.